GCUCCACCUGCUGUUCUACUGGUUGGAAGAGAUUGUGGAAAAGCAUCAGCGAGACAAGACAAGACUGGACCAAUCAGGAGAGAGAAGACACAGAGGACUGAGGAGACGCAGAAAAUCCUGCUGGAAAUCCAGAGAAGAUGUUUCCUGAUGCAUCAGGGGGACAGCUGAGGACGGGACACAGCAUAAAGAGACAGAUCAUGUGAAGCAGGUUGGAUCUCCUGAACCUGGAAUCCUCCACCUUCAACACCACCAGUCAGGAGGAAGAUAAGAGAACCCAGUGGACAACAAAAGUAAGAACAUUUACUUUUACACAACCAAAAGUUUUCAAUAUGCAUGAAGUUGAGGUUGAUGCUCAAAUCUGAUUCCUACUUUCUGCUGUACUUUCUCCUCACUGACCCUUUUGUCUUGUCUGAUUUUUUUCAUUGAGUCCUUUCAUAACAGCAGAGCUUUGAUGAGCUUUGUGCUGAUGGAAGGAGGAUCAGGAAUAGAGCAGAGGACCUGCUGAUCUACUGGUUCUAGUAGAUUUUAUAAAUGCAUGACUGAGACAAGUCAACAUCACUGGACCAAUGAGGAGAGAGAAGACACAGAGGACUGAGGAGACGCAGGAAAUCCUGCUGGGAAUCCAGAGAAGUUUCCUGUUGCAUCAGGGGGACAGCUGAGGACGAGACGCAGAAUAAAGAGACAGAGAUCAUGUGAAAUUCAAGGAUGGCCUUUCAACCCUGGAUGUCAUUUAUGCUUCGGAGCUUCAUGCUUCUGUGUUCAGGCCCUUUAUGUGCACAAGGGUGGAAAAGCUGACAUCAGAAAUGUUAGAGGAAAUCUUUGAAGUUCAGCUCAGCGAAAAGGACAGCACCAGACGACAAGAAGAAACCAGACUGCAAGGAUUCUCCUUGAGACAGACCAAACCUCGCUUUCCUGUUCAAACACUGUCAAGAUACCAAAGCCCAAAACAAAUGAUCAAUUCCAAAAAAAACAUGGACUUUGGGAUAAAAACUCUUUGGACUUUAUUAAGUUCAAAUACAGAAUCACAAAACAUAAAUGUGGAUGUUGGCCUGUGAAGGCAGAUGUUAACUUGUGAAACCUGCUCUGUUCAACUGUCACUACCAACUGUUAUGACUAUUGUUGAAAACUGUUGUAAUGCUUCAUUGUAUUUACAUGUAAAUAUUAGAAAUGAAAAUUUUUAUGUCAUCAAAAAUUGUUGCAAUAAAAAGUGACAUACUAUUAA
Xiphophorus hellerii (green swordtail) is the source of this 1222-nucleotide long non-coding RNA. RefSeq lists it as uncharacterized. Lineage: Eukaryota; Metazoa; Chordata; Actinopteri; Cyprinodontiformes; Poeciliidae. The record is from RefSeq and is a predicted model, not a curated record. The transcript is spliced from 5 exons.